This 277-nucleotide ribosomal RNA is filed under the name uncultured bacterium. RNAcentral describes it as "partial 16S ribosomal RNA". It matches the Rfam family "Bacterial small subunit ribosomal RNA", at positions 28 to 304 of the family's 1533-position model. The record is from RNAcentral.
GACGAACGCUGGCGGCGUGCUUAACACAUGCAAGUCGAGCGAGGCCUUCCUCUUCGGAGGGAGAGCCCUAGCGGCGAACGGGUGAGUAACACGUGGGCAACCUGCCCCUAGCACUGGGAUAACUCCGGGAAACCGGGGCUAAUACCGGAUAUGACCUCUGAGGGCAUCCUCUGAGGUGUAAAGGAUUCUGGCUAGGGAUGGGCCCGCGGCCUAUCAGCUUGUUGGUGGGGUAACGGCCUACCAAGGCGACGACGGGUAGCCGGCCUGAGAGGGCGAC